This 602-nucleotide long non-coding RNA is filed under the name Cricetulus griseus (Chinese hamster). Its description in RNAcentral is "lncRNA (ENSCGRG00000025273.1)". The record is from RNAcentral. Lineage: Eukaryota; Metazoa; Chordata; Mammalia; Rodentia; Cricetidae.
UUUCUCUGAUAAUGAGACUGAUUACUACCUUAAUUGCAAUCCUAGAGCCUUCAUCCAGUAGCUGAUGGAAACAGAAGCAGACACCCACAGCUAAACACUGAACUGAACUGGAAUCCAGUUACAGAGAGGGAGGAGUGAUGAGCAAAGGUGUCAAGACCAGGCUGGUGAAAUCCACAGAAAUUUGGUAUCAUUCUAGUCCAAAUAUAAGGUUUGCUGAGGAAAAGUGAACAAGUGGAAAUGAAGUCUAUUGUCAAUGUGACCAGAGUUGUCCUCAGAGAGUAGGACAGAUAAAAUUAAAAUCAAACCUCUCUUACAAAGAAGAGGAGCCCAGAAGGCUGGAAAUUCCAGAUGAAAAAAAAGAAGGCACCAGAUACUUGGAAUGGGACAGAGCUGCCUGGGAGAGAAGUAAAAGGGUGAGGAGGCCCAAGAGACCAGACUGCAGGGAACCUUGGGAGAAAACCAUCAGGAAUGCCUCAUUUACUUUCAAGAGAAAUAUGUGUUAUCUGACUUGUUCAUGGCAGAUGACCAGAUGUUGUCCAGACAAUGAGGAAGUGUUCAGUUCCAGAGAUGACUUCAAACCUAUUGAAUUCAGAUGGGUGUGA